GAAUAGUAGGGGAAAAAGAAAGGAUAAUAAGCGGAUAAGCGUAGUCGAAGAAGCGGUUGAAAGCUUGGACCUCGGAGCUGAGUAGCUCGAGAGAGGAGAGGAGGCGAGGCGAUAAUGGAGAAGUACUUUGGAAAUGCAUACAGAGGAGACCCAGGUGUACCGCACGCGGAUCCAGACCGCUUCGUCAACAUAUGGAUUGGGUCGGCCGCUUUCUUUGUCCAUCUCAUUCCACUUAAAU
This 238-nucleotide unclassified non-coding RNA is filed under the name Hevea brasiliensis (rubber tree). The record is from RNAcentral. Lineage: Eukaryota; Viridiplantae; Streptophyta; Magnoliopsida; Malpighiales; Euphorbiaceae.